This 301-nucleotide ribosomal RNA is filed under the name uncultured bacterium. RNAcentral's name for it is "partial 16S ribosomal RNA". It matches the Rfam family "Bacterial small subunit ribosomal RNA", at positions 509 to 809 of the family's 1533-position model. The record is from RNAcentral.
CAGCAGCCACGGUAAUACGUAGGUCCCGAGCGUUGUCCGGAUUUAUGGGCGUAAAGCGAGCGCAGGCGGUUAGAUAAGUCUGAAGUUAAAGGCUGUGGCUUAACCAUAGUACGCUUUGGAAACUGUUUAACUUGAGUGCAGAAGGGGAGAGUGGAAUUCCAUGUGUAGCGGUGAAAUGCGUAGAUAUGUGGAGGAACACCGGUGGCGAAAGCGGCUCUCUGGUCUGUAACUGACGCUGAGGCUCGAAAGCGUGGGGAGCAAACAGGAUUAGAUACCCCCGUAGUCCCUGUCUCUUAUACAC